Manihot esculenta (cassava) is the source of this 2633-nucleotide RNA transcript. It is a transcript of the gene named ADP-ribosylation factor 1-like 2, with no coding region annotated. The record is from RefSeq and is a predicted model, not a curated record. NCBI's taxonomy places the organism in Eukaryota, Viridiplantae, Streptophyta, Magnoliopsida, Malpighiales, Euphorbiaceae. The transcript is spliced from 6 exons.
GGACACUAGAUUAGUUGCUCCAGUCUUUCACAGGACGAGAGUGAGGGAUUCAUUUUGGAUUAAGCCUCCUCAAAUGUUUGUUAAGCUCAACACAGUUGCAGCUUUGGAUGGUAUUACUGGAAUCAUGACUUUUGGAGGAGGUUUAAUCCGUGAUGAGAUGGGGAGAUGGAUUGGAGGUUUUGAAGCACAAAUUGGGAAGAUUACAGUCUUGCUUGCUGAAUUUACGAGCUUUUUUGAAAGGAUUGUCUGCUGCUUGGGACCAUGGAUUUCGUAGGAUUAUUGUUGAAUGUGACAAUUUGCGAGCUGUUAAUAGAUCGCAGUCUCCUGUUUCAGCCACUUGUUGAAUUUGAGGUUUCAGCAUGUUUACAUAGAAGCGAAUUCUUGAGCAGAUUCGUUAGCUCCGGAUGCGAAAUUAAGGUCCGUUGCCAUGGCAAUGGCUUCACUUGCCUCCACUUGUAAUGGCUAGUUGAGCCUUUUUACCUUUUCUCAUUAUAACUAAAAAAAAAAAGUCAAAAGCAGGAAAAUUCCACAGAGCAAAGUCUUCUCUUGUGAGGAGGUCAGAAGAAGAAGCAAACGCCACCUCUCUUUCGCUCUCUCCUUCCUCUCCCUCUCUCGUUCUGUCUCUGCUGGAAUUAUAUUAAUUAAAGUAAAAGAGCACUGUCCAAUCGAUUUCUCAUAUAAAGUUUUUUAUUAGAAUCGUAUUGUGGCGUAGAGAGAUCAAAUUAUCCAUAUCCAAAGACCAAAAUCAGAAAUCCGCAACUUUAAGAAUCAUAGGGGGGCGCCUCGUAAUGGGUCAAGCCUUUCGGAAACUAUUCGAUUCCUUCUUUGGCAACAAUGAGAUGCGGAUUGUGAUGCUGGGGCUGGAUGCAGCUGGUAAAACAACCAUACUUUAUAAGCUACAUAAUGGAAAAGUUUUUUAUACUGUCUCAACAAUUGGAUUCAAUGUGGAGAAAGUUCAGUAUAAGAAUGUGAUGUUCACUGUUUGGGAUAUUGCUGGACAAGGGAAAUUAAGGCCCUUCUGGAGGCAUUUUUUUAAUAAUACAGUUGGACUGAUAUAUGUUGUUGAUUCGUUGGAUCGUGAGAGAAUUGGAAUAGCAAAAGAAGAGUUUCAGGCCAUCAUCAAAGAUCCAUUUAUGCUCAACAGUGUCAUCCUGGUGUUUGCCAACAAACAGGACAUGGUAUAUUAUCCGUUUCUAUGCACAUGCAUUAUAAAAUGGCCAAAUGUAUACUUAGACUUGGACACCUAUACUAUUUAGGUUUUGGCUGUUACACACCUCAACUAAUUUAGUAACCUAGUAGACACCUGAACUAAUAAAUUUCAUGACUUUUAAACACAAAAUGGGACUGUCAGUGAAAGGUGAAAUGCACGGGCAAUGACGUGUGACAACUAUGCCAAGUCAAAAAUAUAACCAGCUUUUUACUGACAAUUGUUAAAUAGAAACUGAAAAUAACAACCCAGUGGUUAUAUUUUCCCGAUAAUAUUUGAGCAGUUAAUUUCUUCUCUUCUUAAAUGUUGAAGUCACUAAAUCUCUUUCCAUGUGGAGGGGGCAAGAAUCCAAGAUCACUCCCUUAAUAUAUUCAAAACCUCUAAGCUGGUUUUCACACACAAUAAUAAAAGAAAAGUGUUUACAGGGUUAGCAAAUAGCAAACUCACGCUUUAAUGCCAGUUCAUAACUCUGCAGGUCCUACCUUGUUUCUCUCAGCUGUAGAUUUCAGUUGUGCUACGACAUCCUGCAGUUGGUCAACAUGUUCAGGAAUGAACCCGUGUGACCUUUUAAAUAUGCCCAAAGCCUUUUCUUCAUUGAUUACAACUACUGCAAUUAGCAUAGGCUUGAAACUAUCUAAAGAACACAAAGAUCAACAAAACUUCAAUAGCAGGAUUACGCAAAAUGCAUGACACAACAUUUAUAUGCAAUCAUUUAGAAGUGGAAACUGAAAACGAAGAUGCUGGAAACACAAAUCUCUUCAGCAUCAAAGAUCAUAAAUGAAAAAGAAAAGAAAGAAGAAGUUGCUGAUUGAAGAGUAGGUGGGAGAAGAGGAGAAGCGGCCAUCGUUUUUAGAGAUAGAAUAAAAUUAGCCGUUGCAUAUGCCACAUCGGCAGGAAAAUAUCUAUUCACUCUCCUAUCCUCAUGUGAGAACAAACUUCCGGCUGACAGUGCUAUUUUGUGUUUAAAAGUCAUGAAAUUUAUAACUUCAAGUCUCAACUAGGUUACGAAAUCAGUUGAGGUGUGUAAUCGGCAAAAUCUAAAUAGUUCAGGUGGCUAGUUAUAUAUUUUGCCAUUAUAAAAUUCACUAAACAAGCGGACUUCUUGAGCAAUAGCAUGAAAUAUUUAUAUUCUUGUGGUGGUAAUGGGAACAGCAUGUAAGAUGGUGUCUAGUGAAAAUACAAAGUGUCUGACCAAGCAUUCUUCCAAAAUGGAGUAAUAAACUGAAUAGGACUCUUGCCUUAGAGAUUAGGGAUGAUGCAAAAAUUCACUAUAGCUCGUAACUGCAAAUACGUGGAAAAAAAAUGCAUAAUUCCAAUGAAUUAUUACAGCUAACAAAUUUCCUUGUUGGUUCAUAAUGUAAUCUGUUGAAUUUGUGGUCUUUGUCCAUUUCUCUUCAAUUAUAAACAAAACUAUGCUGUGUUCAAU